GGUUGUUGGGCAUUUGUCAGGUGCUGGUACCACCUCUGAAAUGCUGAUGGAUUUGCUCCUCCAAAGUUCCUGUUUGUUGACAGCUCUCAGAGCAAAUCCCUUCUGUUUGUUAUGAGUUGCCCAGGGGGAAAUAUCUGUGUGGACACGUUUGUGACUGCAGCUCUGGAGCGGGGGCUGCCCAUCUGGUAUCACCUUGCAGCAUGUAAAUAGCUUGGGCUGGCUGUAAAUAGCUUGGAGUGGCAAAAUCCUGAGAGCUGCAGGGCUGCAGAAAGCAACCUCUCUUUAUAUAUCAGCUUGGAACUGCUGGAAACAAUCUGUCUGCACAGGUGGUCCACUUCAACAUUCAGCAAAUACUUGAGAUCACAAUUGCAUCCUUUCUCUUUUGCUUACUCACUUUCCUUCUUUGCCACGGAGAAGAAAAUAUUUCCUGCUUUGCCACAGAGAAGAAAAGAUUUCAAGACUGGUGGUUUUGUAAUCCCUGGCAUCUGAGAUUGUUUUUGUUUGCUCCUGCAGGAAGGAUUCCUGGUUGCUGAACCUGAUGUAACUGCGCAGAUGGACCAGGAAGAAGAGCAAGAAGAGCCUUGGAGGAGACACACAUGGGUGGUGAGCUGGGGCCCCUUCCAGAUCACCUUGAAUGCACAUAUCUGCAGGACGUGCUGGCAGCAGGCUCCAGAGGAGGAGAGGAGCAGUUUGGGGACAGCAUGGGAGUCAGCGUGGUUGCUCAGAGGCCCAGCAAGGUGGCUGUGAGGAGGGAAAGGAG
This 760-nucleotide long non-coding RNA is filed under the name Lonchura striata (white-rumped munia). RNAcentral's name for it is "domestica (Bengalese finch) lncRNA (ENSLSDG00000011087.1)". Lineage: Eukaryota; Metazoa; Chordata; Aves; Passeriformes; Estrildidae. The record is from RNAcentral.